CCUACGGGAGGCAGCAGUAAGGAAUAUUGGUCAAUGGACGAAAGUCUGAACCAGCCAUGCCGCGUGAAGGAUGAAGGUCCUCUGGAUUGUAAACUUCUUUUAUAGGGGACGAAAAAAGGGAAUUCUUUCUCACUUGACGGUACCCUAGGAAUAAGCACCGGCUAACUCCGUGCCAGCAGCCGCGGUAAUACGGAGGGUGCAAGCGUUAUCCGGAUUCACUGGGUUUAAAGGGAGCGUAGGUGGGCAGGUAAGUCAGUGGUGAAAUCUCCGGGCUUAACCCGGAAACUGCCAUUGAUACUAUCUGUCUUGAAUAUUCUGGAGGUAAGCGGAAUAUGUCAUGUAGCGGUGAAAUGCUUAGAUAUGACAUAGAACACCCAUUGCGAAGGCAGCUUACUACGGAACUAUUGACACUGAGGCUCGAAAGCGUGGGGAUCAAACAGGAUUAGAUACCCUGGUAGUCCACGCCCUAAACGAUGGAUACUCGACAUCAGCGAUACACUGUUGGUGUCUGAGNGAAGANAUAGUAUCCACCNGAGACGACGCGAGUAGUUAAGUUAAUAGUUAGUUAGAGNGNGNGAGNGCGAGACGACGACGAGGAGAGG
Molecule: ribosomal RNA, 602 nt
Filed under: uncultured bacterium
Lineage: Bacteria
Description: bacterial SSU rRNA
Rfam family: Bacterial small subunit ribosomal RNA (bases 1-532)
Source: RNAcentral